GGGAGUUUGGCCGAGUGGUUUAAGGCGUCAGAUUAAGGUUUCUAAGGCCUAGUAUUCUGAUAUCUUCGGAUGCGCGGGUUCGAAUCCCACAGCUCUCA
Arxiozyma heterogenica is the source of this 98-nucleotide non-coding RNA. The record is from the annotation of a RefSeq genome assembly. NCBI's taxonomy places the organism in Eukaryota, Fungi, Ascomycota, Saccharomycetes, Saccharomycetales, Saccharomycetaceae.